CCUACGGGAGGCUGCAGUGGGGAAUAUUGCACAAUGGGCGCAAGCCUGAUGCAGCCAUGCCGCGUGUGUGAAGAAGGCCUUCGGGUUGUAAAGCACUUUCAGCGGGGAGGAAGGCGUUAAGGUUAAUAACCUUGUCGAUUGACGUUACCCGCAGAAGAAGCACCGGCUAACUCCGUGCCAGCAGCCGCGGUAAUACGGAGGGUGCAAGCGUUAAUCGGAAUUACUGGGCGUAAAGCGCACGCAGGCGGUCUGUCAAGUCGGAUGUGAAAUCCCCGGGCUCAACCUGGGAACUGCAUUCGAAACUGGCAGGCUAGAGUCUUGUAGAGGGGGGUAGAAUUCCAGGUGUAGCGGUGAAAUGCGUAGAGAGCUGGAGGAAUACCGGUGGCGAAGGCGGCCCCCUGGACAAAGACUGACGCUCAGGUGCGAAAGCGUGGGGAGCAAACAGGAUUAGAUACCCUUGUAGUC
Molecule: ribosomal RNA, 465 nt
Filed under: uncultured Klebsiella sp.
Lineage: Bacteria; Pseudomonadati; Pseudomonadota; Gammaproteobacteria; Enterobacterales; Enterobacteriaceae
Description: bacterial SSU rRNA
Rfam family: Bacterial small subunit ribosomal RNA
Source: RNAcentral